AGAAUUUGUUGACUCACCCUGAAUGUGUCUGUUGUACUGCUGUUGCACAGGACAGUGUUCAGGGUGUGAAACAAUGUGUUUGUUUUUGAAAGGGCAUGCUGAUUGAAGGACCACCAGGACCCCCUGGCCCAGCUGUGAGUAUAUUGUUAAAAACCUGAGCAUAUUUAGGCACCAUUGUUUUCAGAAUGUAAUGAGCUUGCCUAUUGGUGGUCUGCUAGCAUAUCCUUUGUCUUUUAGGGUCUUCCAGGUCCCUCAGGCCUGCAAGGACCCCCAGGCACUUCUGGAGAUCCUGGUGACAGGGGUCCACCUGGUCGUGCUGGUCUUCCUGGUGCUGAUGGUUUGGCAGGGCCCCCUGGUACUAUGCUGAUGCUGCCAUUCCGUUUUGGUGGAGAUGGUGAGAAGGGUCCAGUGGUGUCGGCCCAAGAAGCUCAAGCCCAGGCCAUCCUCUCCCAGGCCAGAGUAGGUAGAAGGGACAUUAAAAAGGCCACUGAGAAGCUCAAAGGCUGUGGACAAACCCCCCAACCCCCGCCCUGCUCCUCCACACAGCUGUAG
RNAcentral lists this long non-coding RNA (552 nucleotides) under Sparus aurata (gilthead seabream). RNAcentral's name for it is "lncRNA (ENSSAUG00010006464.1)". Lineage: Eukaryota; Metazoa; Chordata; Actinopteri; Spariformes; Sparidae. The record is from RNAcentral.